GAUGAGGACCAAAGAUUCAAUGAUGAUGAACUGGAAAUUAUACAUAUAGAUCUGAACUCACCAAGACACAAAAAUAAAGAUAAAAACUACAAGAAGCAGUGCUCUCCGUUGAAGAAAAAAGAAAAAAAGAAACCAGAUGUAGGAGUUGCUUCUGGGAAACUUGCUCAGCAUCGAGAAACUGAAGAGAAAGAAAUACCUUUGAUAGAUCACACCUGCCGAGAAUCUUCUUCAUCCAAUAGUAAGAUCAAAAACCAUGAUCUUCUGGUGGACCUGACACCAGAAAAUGGAUCAGAAGACUUUUCGCUGUUCCAGACUGCCCUAGGUACACAACCAACAAAGUAAGAAAUGCUAACUUUCAUCUCUUCCUUCCAUGACUUG
Molecule: long non-coding RNA, 378 nt
Organism: Limulus polyphemus (Atlantic horseshoe crab)
Lineage: Eukaryota; Metazoa; Arthropoda; Merostomata; Xiphosura; Limulidae
Exons: 3
Source: RefSeq, a predicted model, not a curated record